GGUCGAAUAGCUCAGUUGGUAGAGCAAAGGACUGAAAAUCCUUGUGUCGGGGGUUCAAUUCCCUCUUCGACCACCA
RNAcentral lists this transfer RNA (76 nucleotides) under Ignavibacteriota bacterium. RNAcentral's name for it is "Ignavibacteriae bacterium (activated sludge metagenome) tRNA-Phe". It matches the Rfam family "tRNA". From Rfam's summary of the family: Transfer RNA (tRNA) molecules are approximately 80 nucleotides in length. Their secondary structure includes four short double-helical elements and three loops (D, anti-codon, and T loops). Lineage: Bacteria; Pseudomonadati; Ignavibacteriota. The record is from RNAcentral.